RNAcentral lists this ribosomal RNA (469 nucleotides) under uncultured bacterium. RNAcentral's name for it is "partial 16S ribosomal RNA". It matches the Rfam family "Bacterial small subunit ribosomal RNA", at positions 28 to 507 of the family's 1533-position model. The record is from RNAcentral.
GACGAACGCUGGCGGCGUGCUUAACACAUGCAAGUCGAACGGUGAAGCGAGUGCUUGCACUCGUGGAUCAGUGGCGAACGGGUGAGUAACACGUGAGUAACCUGCCCAUCACUCUGGGAUAAGCACUGGAAACGGUGUCUAAUACUGGAUACGACCAACCCUUGCAUGGGGUGUUGGUGGAAAGAUUUAUCGGUGAUGGAUGGACUCGCGGCCUAUCAGCUUGUUGGCGGGGUAAUGGCCCACCAAGGCGACGACGGGUAGCCGGCCUGAGAGGGUGACCGGCCGCACUGGGACUGAGACACGGCCCAGACUCCUACGGGAGGCAGCAGUGAGGAAUAUUGCACAAUGGGCGAAAGCCUGAUGCAGCGACGCCGCGUGAGGGAUGACGGCCUUCGGGUUGUAAACCUCUUUCAGCAGGGAAGAAGCGAAAGUGACGGUACCUGCAGAAGAAGCACCGGCUAACUACGUG